RNAcentral lists this ribosomal RNA (451 nucleotides) under uncultured Skermanella sp. RNAcentral's name for it is "bacterial SSU rRNA". It matches the Rfam family "Bacterial small subunit ribosomal RNA", at positions 10 to 507 of the family's 1533-position model. The record is from RNAcentral. Lineage: Bacteria; Pseudomonadati; Pseudomonadota; Alphaproteobacteria; Rhodospirillales; Azospirillaceae.
AGUUUGAUCCUGGCUCAGAACGAACGCUGGCGGCAUGCCUAACACAUGCAAGUCGAACGAGGGCUUCGGCCCUAGUGGCGCACGGGUGAGUAACGCGUGGGAACCUGCCCUGUGGUACGGAAUAACUCCGGGAAACUGGAGCUAAUACCGUAUGUGUCUUGAGGGACAAAGAUUUAUCGCCAUGGGAUGGGCCCGCGUAGGAUUAGCUUGUUGGUGGGGUAACGGCCUACCAAGGCAACGAUCCUUAGCUGGUCUGAGAGGAUGAUCAGCCACACUGGGACUGAGACACGGCCCAGACUCCUACGGGAGGCAGCAGUGGGGAAUAUUGGACAAUGGGCGCAAGCCUGAUCCAGCAAUGCCGCAUGAGUGAUGAAGGCCUUCGGGUUGUAAAGCUCUUUCGCACGCGACGAUGAUGACGGUAGCGUGAGAAGAAGCCCCGGCUAACUUCGUG